RNAcentral lists this ribosomal RNA (279 nucleotides) under uncultured bacterium. RNAcentral describes it as "partial 16S ribosomal RNA". It matches the Rfam family "Bacterial small subunit ribosomal RNA", at positions 506 to 784 of the family's 1533-position model. The record is from RNAcentral.
UGCCAGCCGCCGCGGUAAUACGAAUGGUGCGAGCGUUGUUCGGAAUCACUGGGCAUAAAGCGCGCGUAGGCGGCGACAUCAGUCAGCUGUGAAAUCCCUCGGCUCAACCGAGGAACUGCAGCUGAAACUGUGUCGCUAGAGUGCGGGAGGGGAGAACGGAAUUCCUGGUGGAGCGGUGAAAUGCGUAGAUAUCAGGAGGAACGCCGGAGGCGAAAGCGGUUCUCUGGCCCGCAACUGACGCUGAGGUGCGAAAGCUAGGGGAGCAAACAGGAUUAGAUA